Molecule: ribosomal RNA, 253 nt
Filed under: uncultured bacterium
Lineage: Bacteria
Description: partial 16S ribosomal RNA
Rfam family: Bacterial small subunit ribosomal RNA
Source: RNAcentral
UACGAGAGGCCCAAACGUUAUUCGGAAUUACUGGGCUUAAAGGGUGCGUAGGCGGCGCGGAAAGUAGGGUGUGAAAUCCCUCGGCUCAACCGAGGAAUUGCGCCCUAAACUACCGUGCUCGAGGGAGAUAGAGGUGAGCGGAACUUAGGGUGGAGCGGUGAAAUGCGUUGAUAUCCUAAGGAACACCGGUGGCGAAAGCGGCUCACUGGAUCUCUUCUGACGCUGAGGCACGAAAGCUAGGGUAGCGAACGGG